CAAAAUCUUCCCAAUUUUGAGUUUUUCUUUGUCUUUUGUCACUGGGGAUUGAACCCAGGGGUGCUUACUCUGAGCAACAUCCCCAGCCCUUUUUCUCAUUUUGAGACAGGAGGUUGCUGAGGUUGGCCUCAAACUUGCAAUCCUCUGUCUCAGCCUCCUGAGUCAGGUGUAAAAUAUACACCUGUAAUCCCAGUGACUCAGGAGCCUGAGACAGAGGAUUGCAAGUUUGAGUCUUUUAAAUCAACCUAUACUUUUUGAGUCUUUUAAACCAACUAAAUUUGAGUCUUUUAAAUCAACCUAUUUUUUAAAACUCAGCCAACAAACUAGAAUAAAUGCAAAAAAAAAAAAAAAAGAUUUAUACCUAGACACAUCAUAGUCAAAAUGUUGAAAGUUAAAGAUGGAAAAUCUUGAACCAGCAAGAGGAAAAUGACUCAUCACAUAUAAAUGAACAACAUAAGAAAUUAAUAGGGCAGUCAUAACAGUAGACUGUCAUAAAAAUUACGUGACUGUAACUUCUCUUAAAAUAUCUUCACUCUAUUGUGAUGCUGAUGUGCAGUGAUAAAUACUUCCAUGAUGAGAUGAAGUCAGGUGAAGGUAGAGUUGCUACUACGUAAGAGCUGCCUGAAUACAAGCACUGUGAAACUUGGUUACUGAGACGGCAACUAAGGGCAGCUAGAACACGAUGCUGAUAGAUUAGACAAGGGGAUGAUUUACAUCCCAGAGGGACAGCAGGAUGGUGUGAGAUUUCAUCACACUAUUCAGAACACACAAUUUAAAACUUACAAAUUGUUCCAACAUUUUUUUGGAAUUUUCCACUUAAUGUCUUUCUAACUGUUGUGAGUUAGUGAGUUAAUGCAGUUGUGAGUGUAUGAUGAAAGAAAUACACGUGUUGCUUUAAAACUGACACACUGUGAGUUUGGGAGGUGAUUUCAUCAUUAUGCAAACAUCAUAAAGUGUACUACACAGUCCAAGAUGGCUGUGAUGUCACUAGGUGACAUCAUCUUGUGGGCCCACUGUCAUAUGAGUGGUCUGUUGUUGACCAAAAUGUCAUGCCUCAAGUGACUACAUUCAUAACAUGUCAGUUUUCAUUAACUGGUUAACCCAUUCCACAGCCCUGAAAGGAAGCCAUGUUCAGUUUUAUAGUCUCGUCAUUCAAUCAGGAUCAUUUUAGAACUGAAAAGUCUAUGGAAUGAUUUAAAAACCCAUUUGGAGUUUGCAAAAGUAAUUUCUGUCCCUAUCGUGUUUGUAAGGGGGAACUACUACCCUGAAGGAAUUUCUUCAGCCUGGAAGGAAUUGACCUCAUCUGUAGGAAGAACAGAAAUGGUAAAUAUGGAAGUAAAUUUUUUUUCUGUAGUUCUGGGAAUUGAAGCCAAGGACUUGUGCAUGUUAGAUAAGU
RNAcentral lists this long non-coding RNA (1396 nucleotides) under Marmota monax (woodchuck). Lineage: Eukaryota; Metazoa; Chordata; Mammalia; Rodentia; Sciuridae. The record is from RNAcentral.